AUUUGUUAUUCUGUAGAAGGUAUUUUGAUAUAAAGUAUUGUAUUGAUAGUAUUUGGUUAAAAAUACGUUGAUAAUAUUGUGUUAAUAUAUAGUAUGUUGAUAAUAUUGUGUUUUAAUAGUUUG
Molecule: long non-coding RNA, 123 nt
Organism: Ipomoea nil (Japanese morning glory)
Lineage: Eukaryota; Viridiplantae; Streptophyta; Magnoliopsida; Solanales; Convolvulaceae
Exons: 3
Source: RefSeq, a predicted model, not a curated record